AGUGACAAGUGUAGUGAGACAGUCGUUGUCAUGGAUACGGACAUGGAGCCUACAUUCUCAACACAGAUACAGGACAUGACUACAGAGUUCAGAUUGAUGAAUCACUUUUACAGUGUUAUCAUUCCUUUAAGUUGAGAUAAUGUGCUGGGACGGGGGACGAUGGUGAGGCGCAGGGUAUUUCCAGCUCGACGGAGGAUCUGAGCGAGCUCCCGAUGAGGCAGGGUCACCACCGAUCGUCCCUCCACCGCCUCCAAUCGAUCACCGGGCCGGAUCUGACCGCUCUUGGCCGCCGGGCUGCCUCGACGGACCGUCACAAACCGAGUAAUCCCACUGCGGUAUGCCCAGCAGCCAGCCGAGCUCUGACGCGCUGCACUGAUCACCGCUCAGGAGUGGUAGCGAACUCCCCCCCUCCCCUCCCCUCCUCGCCCCGCCAUCGUAAAAUCCCCCUCUGCAGCCCAGAUGCAUCAGCCGGCGCACAUCACCACGGCAGCCUGCAGAUGCUUAAUGCAUGUUGAACACCAGAGAGAGUACUGUUGCACAAAUAUACAGCAGUGUGUAUGUGUGUGUGUGUGCAGGUUAGUAAAUUCUGAUCUAUUGCUCAACUUCA
Long non-coding RNA from Acanthopagrus latus (yellowfin seabream), 607 nucleotides. RefSeq lists it as uncharacterized. The transcript has 3 exons. Lineage: Eukaryota; Metazoa; Chordata; Actinopteri; Spariformes; Sparidae. The record is from RefSeq and is a predicted model, not a curated record.